RNAcentral lists this ribosomal RNA (414 nucleotides) under uncultured prokaryote. Its description in RNAcentral is "bacterial SSU rRNA". It matches the Rfam family "Bacterial small subunit ribosomal RNA", at positions 505 to 918 of the family's 1533-position model. The record is from RNAcentral.
GUGUCAGCCGCCGCGGUAAUACGAAUGGGGCAAGCGUUGUUCGGAUUUACUGGGCGUAAAGCGGGCGUAGGCGGCCGGCUAAGUCGGAUGUGAAAUCCCGGGGCUCAACUCCGGAACUGCAUCCGAUACUGGUCGGCUAGAGUUCGAGAGGGGGAUGCGGAAUUCCGCGUGUAGCAGUGAAAUGCGUAGAUAUGCGGAGGAACACCUGAGGCGAAGGCGGCAUCCUGGAUCGACACUGACGCUGAGGCCCGAAAGCGUGGGGAGCAAACAGGAUUAGAUACCCGGGUAGUCCUGGCCGUAAACGAUGGAUGCUAGAUGUGGGCGGGGAGACCCGUCCGUGUCGCAAGCUAACGCGUUAAGCAUCCCGCCUGAGGAGUACGGCCGCAAGGUUGAAACUCAAAGGAAUUGACGGGG